UUAUUAUUAAUCAACAGGAAUCUUGAUUGAAAUAAGAUUUAUUUAUUAAAAUAUUACAUAAUGAGUGAUUACCUUUAACCUAAAAAUAGUAUUACAAUUUCAACAAAUGGAAAUGGAAGAAGAUCAAGGAUUUUUUUAACAAAGUAAACAAAGAAAAUUGUACUUAUUGGAAUCGUAUCCAUUCUUAAUCAAUAUUAUAAUUCUAUUUUCAUAUUUCUGUUUAUUUUCUUAUAUUUCUCGAUGUGAAGUCAUCAAGGCAAAAAUGACAUCAUAUUCUGAUCACAAACCAGUUUUCACUGACUUUAAUACCGGUUCUCUACAGUAGAACUCUAGAGAAUAUCAAUACAGUUGUCAGAUGAGGUCUUAGCCUCAAAAAGUUCAUAGUUAUAUCUUUAAGUUCGGAUAAAUCUCAAAAAUUGAAAAAAAAUCUCUAUAUAAAAUAAAUAUUGAAUCCAUCUGUAAUUUUGAACAAGUUUUUUUUUAAAAAAAUUGAUUGGUCAAGAAAAAUUAACUGAUAUUGGAUAUUGUAUGUUGGAUGCUGUGCGAAACCGUUAUGCAACCUGCAGUGUGUAAAGCGGUCUUUAGGUACUCGAAUUCCCGUUGCCUUGUCCUCAUGUUUUGGCAUUUGAAGAAUGGUUAUAGAAAACCAUAAGCUAAAAGCCUAAUUGUAAUAUUAUAUGUAUCAUAUAAAAUUUUUACUAUAUAUUUUAUAUAUAUAGUAUUUUAUAUAUAUAGUAUUUUAUAUAUAUAGUAUACUAUAUAAGAUAAUAUUUUUUUUAAUUUUUAAUUGAAAAUUUAGAACAAUAUAGAAUAAUAAUUUGUUAAUGAAAUAAAAAUUAUAAAAAUUAUUUUUUAAUGAAAUAAAAUAUAUAAGAAUAAUA
Apis cerana (Asiatic honeybee) is the source of this 881-nucleotide long non-coding RNA. RefSeq lists it as uncharacterized. Lineage: Eukaryota; Metazoa; Arthropoda; Insecta; Hymenoptera; Apidae. The record is from RefSeq and is a predicted model, not a curated record.